GACGAACGCUGGCGGCGUGCCUAAUACAUGCAAGUAGAACGCUGAAGGAGGAGCUUGCUUCUCUGGAUGAGUUGCGAACGGGUGAGUAACGCGUAGGUAACCUGCCUGGUAGCGGGGGAUAACUAUUGGAAACGAUAGCUAAUACCGCAUAAGAGUAGAUGUUGCAUGACAUUUACUUAAAAGGUGCAAUUGCAUCACUACCAGAUGGACCUGCGUUGUAUUAGCUAGUUGGUGAGGUAACGGCUCACCAAGGCAACGAUACAUAGCCGACCUGAGAGGGUGAUCGGCCACACUGAGACUGAGACACGGCCCAGACUCCUACGGGAGGCAGCAGUAGGGAAUCUUCGGCAAUGGACGGAAGUCUGACCGAGCAACGCCGCGUGAGUGAAGAAGGUUUUCGGAUCGUAAAGCUCUGUUGUAAGAGAAGAACGAGGGUGAGAGUGGAAAGUUCACACUGUGACGGUAUCUUACCAGAAAGGGACGGCUAACUACGUG
RNAcentral lists this ribosomal RNA (495 nucleotides) under uncultured bacterium. RNAcentral describes it as "partial 16S ribosomal RNA". It matches the Rfam family "Bacterial small subunit ribosomal RNA", at positions 28 to 507 of the family's 1533-position model. The record is from RNAcentral.